GUAUGUGUACCCUUUACCACACAAAUCUAGAAUAUGAUUGAUUUAGAAAUAUAUUUGGAAAUGUUUUUAGUAUGUAAUCGCUGGACAUCCAUGAUGAUAUUGAUGAUGAAUUCAAUCAUAUUCAGAACUCCGUGUAAGUAUAUACAUUUUAUGUGACAUUUGAUAUUUUGAGUCAUGUUGUCUGGAAGGGGCUCAGACAGAUAACAAACCUAAAGCCCCACACUCUACUAAUGGCCCACUUCAGGACCGUUAGUAGAUGUUUUCACAUUCACAAGGUAUUUUUUCUGGCUGCUUUGUGAGGGUCUGCUUCCUGGGGAGGCAGUUGACGGCCCUGUCUAGGAUGGAGAGAUUCGUCUCUGAUGGUGGGGAUGUGGUGUCAAGACCAGGUUGUCUCCAAAACCCUUCACUUUACAAAAACAAUUUCAUACCUCUUUCACACCACAAUUACCAUGGAGAGGGUCUGAUGAUCGUGUAGUGACAGGUCGCGACCAUAGAUGGCGGUAGGGAGCGGUGCGCGCCAUAAAACAAAGAAGAAGAACAGUGUAGUCAACAACAGAAAGCAUGGUCGCCAGUCAGCAGUUACCGACGGAGGAGUUGAGCCUUCAUUGCCUCCGUCAUCGCGCAAAUUAGCGGGUUCACCCGGGUGUGACGUUCACAUCAAUGCCGAUUGGAGGUCAACUGCAGAGCCGGUGUCCUUCUAUGAUCACAUCCUGAUGUACUGUAUGUCAGCAAGCUCUUUUGCAUCAGCCCUUCAGUCUAUGAAGGCAGAAUCUUACUGGCUUGCUCAGACUACAACCACCACGUCCACAGACCACCCAAAGGAAGAUCUGACAGCUCUACUCAUAUUAAAAGGAUAAGACCACAGACCGAGAGGUGAUGAAUAAGGAAAGAAAUCCUGCAACUACGAUAAAAAAUGUAAUUUGUAGAUCCAAAUACAUAAAUCUACCUGAGUAUUGUAAAUAUUCAACACGCCUACUUUGGAUUUUAUUCAUGUGCAAAAUAAAGCUUGACAAUAUCA
This is a long non-coding RNA of Scophthalmus maximus (turbot), 1018 nucleotides long. RefSeq lists it as uncharacterized. The record is from RefSeq and is a predicted model, not a curated record. Lineage: Eukaryota; Metazoa; Chordata; Actinopteri; Pleuronectiformes; Scophthalmidae. The transcript is spliced from 2 exons.